This 253-nucleotide ribosomal RNA is filed under the name uncultured bacterium. RNAcentral describes it as "partial 16S ribosomal RNA". It matches the Rfam family "Bacterial small subunit ribosomal RNA", at positions 524 to 776 of the family's 1533-position model. The record is from RNAcentral.
UACAGAGGGUGCAAGCGUUGUUCGGAAUCAUUGGGCGUAAAGGGUGCGUAGGCCGCACGGUAAGUCAGAUGUGAAAUCUCAGGGCUCAACUCUGAAAUUGCAUCCGAUACUGCCGUGCUUGAGGACUGGAGAGGAGUCUGGAAUUCAUGGUGGAGCAGUGAAAUGCGUAGAUAUCAUGAGGAACGCCAGUGGCGUAGGCGAGACUCUGGACAGUUCCUGACGCUGAGGCACGAAGGCCAGGGGAGCAAACGGG